UACAGAGGGUGCAAGCGUUACUCGGAUUGACUGGGCGUAAAGGGCGCGUAGGCGGGUGUAUAAGUUUCGUGUGAAAGGCCAGGGCUUAACCUUGGGAUGUCGCGAGAUACUGUAUGCCUAGAGGGCAGUAGAGGGGAGCGGAAUUUCCGGUGUAGCGGUGAAAUGCGUAGAGAUCGGAAGGAACACCAGUUGCGAAGGCGGCUCUCUGGACUGACCCUGACGCUGAGGCGCGAAAGCGUGGGGAGCAAACAGG
RNAcentral lists this unclassified non-coding RNA (253 nucleotides) under uncultured Gammaproteobacteria bacterium. RNAcentral's name for it is "contains 16S-23S intergenic spacer region". It matches the Rfam family "Bacterial small subunit ribosomal RNA", at positions 524 to 776 of the family's 1533-position model. The record is from RNAcentral. Lineage: Bacteria; Pseudomonadati; Pseudomonadota; Gammaproteobacteria.